Molecule: long non-coding RNA, 1348 nt
Filed under: Pan troglodytes (chimpanzee)
Lineage: Eukaryota; Metazoa; Chordata; Mammalia; Primates; Hominidae
Description: long non-coding RNA NONPTRT000632
Source: RNAcentral
AUCUGUGUGGAAGGGGGUUGCAGGGAGCAGAGUAUGCUGAGGUUAGAGCCUGAGGGGUUUGGCGUCAUGCCAAGCCUAGGAGGCAAGAUUAAAGAGACUAGCUGGGCGCGGUGGCUCAUGCCUGUAAUCCCAGCACUUUGAGAGGCCAAGGUGAGCGGAUCAAUUUGAGGCCAGAAGUUUGAGACCAACCUGGCAAACAUGGUGAAACCCCAUCUCUGGUAAAAAUACAAAAUUUAGCCGGGUGUGGUGGCAGGCACCUGUAAUCUCAGCUACUUGGGAGGCUGAGGCAUAAGAAUUGCUUGAAUCCAGGAGGCAGACAUUGCAGCAAGCCAAGAUUGUGCCACUGCACUCCAGCCUGGGCAAGGGAGCAAGACUCCGUCUCAAAUAAGCAAACAAAAAAGAAUAAAGAGGCUUCUCUGGUGGGGCUGCGGAGGAGGGUGGGCCUCCCAGGAAAAGGGUCUUGUCAGGACAACUUCCAGCCUCAGCCGCCUCUCCUGCCUCUGCCUUGGGCAGCAUGCAAGAGCUCUGUGAGGGGAUGAAGCUGCUGGCAUCUGACCUCCUGGACAACAACCGCAUCAUCGAACGGCUAAAUAGAGUCCCAGCACCUCCUGAUGUCUGAGCUCCAUGGGGCGCAUGAGGCAUCCUGAAGCAUUAGAAUGAUUCCAACACUGCUCUUCUGCACCGUGAGACCAACCCAGGGCAAGAUCCCAUCCCAUCACAUCAGCCUACCUCCCUCCUGGCUGCUGGCCAGGAUGUCGCCAGCAUUACCUUCCACUGCCUUUCUCCCUGGGAAGCAGCACAGCUGAGACUGGGCACCAGGCCACCUCUGUUGGGACCCACAGGAAAGAGUGUGGCAGCAACUGCCUGGCUGACCUUUCUAUCUUCUCUAGGCUCAGGUACUGCUCCUCCAUGCCCAUGGCUGGGCCGUGGGGAGAAGAAGCUCUCAUACGCCCUCCCACUCCCUCUGGUUUAUAGGACUUCACUCCCUAGCCAACAGGAGCGGAGGCCUCCUGGGGUUUCCCCAGGGCAGUAGGUCAAACGACCUCAUCACAGUCUUCCUUCCUCUUCAAGCGUUUCAUGUUGAACACAGCUCUCUCCGCUCCCUUGUGAUUUCUGAGGGUCACCACUGCCAGCCUCCGGCAACAUAGAGAGCCUCCUGUUCUUUCUAUGCUUGGUCUGACUGAGCCUAAAGUUGAGAAAAUGGGUGGCCAAGGCCAGUGCCAGUGUCUUGGGGCCCCUUUGGCUCUCCCUCACUCUCUGAGGCUGCAGCUGGUCCUGGGACAUGCAGCCAGGACUGUGAGUCUGGGCAGGUCCAAGGCCUGCACCUUCAAGAAGUGGAAUAAAUGUG